This 96-nucleotide transfer RNA is filed under the name Enterobacter hormaechei. RNAcentral describes it as "tRNA-OTHER". The stretch from base 11 to 93 matches the Rfam family "tRNA". Rfam says of the family: Transfer RNA (tRNA) molecules are approximately 80 nucleotides in length. Their secondary structure includes four short double-helical elements and three loops (D, anti-codon, and T loops). Further hydrogen bonds mediate the characteristic L-shaped molecular structure. tRNAs have two regions of fundamental functional importance: the anti-codon, which is responsible for specific mRNA codon recognition, and the 3' end, to which the tRNAs corresponding amino acid is attached (by aminoacyl-tRNA synthetases). tRNAs cope with the degeneracy of the genetic code in two manners: having more than one tRNA (with a specific anti-codon) for a particular amino acid; and 'wobble' base-pairing, i.e. permitting non-standard base-pairing at the 3rd anti-codon position. Lineage: Bacteria; Pseudomonadati; Pseudomonadota; Gammaproteobacteria; Enterobacterales; Enterobacteriaceae. The record is from RNAcentral.
CCCUUUGACAUCCUCAGAGCGCAUCGAUAAUAUGCGCCCCGUUCACGCGGACUGUUAAUCCGUAUGUCACUGGUUCGAGUCCAGUCAGAGGAGCCA